RNAcentral lists this small RNA (562 nucleotides) under Pongo abelii (Sumatran orangutan). RNAcentral describes it as "processed transcript". Lineage: Eukaryota; Metazoa; Chordata; Mammalia; Primates; Hominidae. The record is from RNAcentral.
AAAGUUACAUGACCAUCGGAGACCAUGGGGCCAGGAGGACUUCACAGGGCAGAGAGGUUGCCUUCAGCAGACUUUAGAGAUUGUUUAGUUCUCAUCUCUUUGUGUUUUACGGCCACACGGCGAGUGUGGCGUUGGCCUGGGCUCGCCUUUGCUGCCCAUCCCCAGCCGUGGGACAUUCCGGAACUGCGAGAUCUCUUCCCUGGAGGAAGCUCCUUGGAUUCAGGUGGAGGCUUUAGACUCUGGUUGUAUGGCUCGACACUCAACAUUGACCUGUUUCCGGCGCUCAUGGUGGAGGACCUGGUGCCAGGCAGCCGGCUGGGCCCCACCCUGAUGUGUCUUCUCAGCACACAGUUCAAGCGCCUGCGAGAUGGGGACAGGUUGUGGUAUGAGAACCCCGGGGUGUUCUCCCCGGCCCAGCUGACUCAGAUCAAGCAGACGUCGCUGGCCAGGAUCCUAUGCGACGACGCAGACAACAUCACCCGGGUGCAGAGCGACGUGUUCAGGGUGGUGGAGUUCCCUCACGGCUACGGCAGCUGUGACGAGAUCCCCAGGGUGGACCUCC